Non-coding RNA from Peromyscus maniculatus bairdii (prairie deer mouse), 696 nucleotides. The record is from RefSeq and is a predicted model, not a curated record. Lineage: Eukaryota; Metazoa; Chordata; Mammalia; Rodentia; Cricetidae.
CUCCGGGAUCAUUGCAGAAGUCACCAUCAUGACCAUCUGAACAUGAGCUGAUGAACAAGGACAACGACACUAGAGAUACUAAUGUGGAAGGUGGAAAGUCCAGGAGACCUCAACUCGACACAGAGAACUACAGGCAACUAAGGAAUGCUAAGAUGGGAAGAAGUAGUCUUCCCCAGGCAUCCUGUUUGGCCUUUACAUUUUAAAACUACAAGGAGAAGAGCUGCUGUGUACCAGUUUCCUCCAAACUGAAACAUUCCAAUUCUGGGAGACCUCCUUAAAAAAAGAAGGUAAACAACUCACAUUGUUUCAGGAAGUCCUUGAAACUGACCGGAUUCACUAGCAUGCCACCCCCAGCACCCCCAAGAAUAAACCACAAGGACUGUGGAGAGUCACAUCCCACACAAGAUGCACAGAAGCAGAGACCCUUUCAACCAAGCAGCUGGAAAAGAAGCAGACAGCAGCUGAGCAGUCGGGAAGAGGGGUAGAUCAACUGAGCCACCCUGAAGGAUGCUCUCCAGCCUGGUAAUCUGUCCACAGGCUGUGCCGUGAGCUCCAGAUGUUCAGAUUCUGUGAGCUGUCACCCAUGCUGGGGUAGGCUUUGGUGAUGCAGCUGUCCCUGAGUCAUUUCUGCUCCUAUAAGUAACCCUUCACCCAUACUCUUGUACCCAACCCCAAUAAAACCCAUUGCUUCACUGA